This is an RNA transcript of Zootermopsis nevadensis, 1446 nucleotides long. It is a transcript of the gene named ubiquitin-conjugating enzyme E2Q-like protein 1, with no coding region annotated. Lineage: Eukaryota; Metazoa; Arthropoda; Insecta; Blattodea; Termopsidae. The record is from RefSeq and is a predicted model, not a curated record.
UAAAACACAGGCUUUAUGUUGCAGAUAGAAUCUCAGUCUGCAACUGCUAUUUAUCUGCACCUAAAUUUAGGCAGUACUAUGUCAUCACGCUCAAAGGAGAAGAUGGCAGCUGCAUUCCGCAAACUUUUCCGGUCAUCCCAGAAGAUUAGGGACCCAGAAGGUGCUGUUGGAGGACAAGGAUGUUCCAGCAACAGUGGAUCCCCUGCCAGAAGACUGCUGAGUCGACAUGGCUAUCACAGAGACGCUGUCAUGCCAGCAGAGAGGAGUCCAGGAUUGGAUGGGCCCUCUUCGGGUUCUGGAAGUUACAAAUAUGUGACUGAUCUCUUUAGAUCUAAAAAGACAGGACCAGGAAGCUCAGAGAAACAGUCGUUGCUGAGUGGAAACAGUGGGGGGUCUCAGAGAACGGUCCGUUCUCGUAGACUGAUGAAGGAACUCCGAGAGAUUCAGAGGAUACAGCAGCAGUAUCAUCAAGACCCUGUUUUUACAGUGGAGCUCGUCAAUGAUAAUUUGUUUGAAUGGCAUGUCCGUCUCUAUAGGAUUGACUCAGACAGCGAACUUGCUAGUGAUAUGAGAGAUAUGGGCAUCCCAUAUAUACUAUUGCAUCUCAUGUUCCCAGACAAUUUUCCUUUUGCUCCCCCUUUUAUGCGUGUGAUAUCACCACGAAUAGAAAAGGGUUUUGUCAUGGAGGGUGGAGCCAUCUGCAUGGAACUCCUGACGCCUCGGGGCUGGGCCAGUGCAUAUACAGUGGAAGCUAUUGUCAUGCAGUUUGCUGCCAGCAUCGUGAAAGGGCAGGGACGUAUAGCCAAGAAGCACAAAGGGAGCAAGGGAUUUAAUCGACGUUCAGCAGAAGAAUCUUUCCGUAGCCUGGUAAAAACUCACGAGAAAUAUGGUUGGGUAACACCACCUCUUGCAGAUGGUUAACUGCAACUCAGAAUCAGUGACCACUGUGACCUUGGAGCUGAAGUCCCUCAUCAGAAAUAAUAACCAGCUUGAACACAAGUCAGAUCACCAGUAUUUUCACAAUGUCCAAUAUUUGUGACCUUUGUGAACUUUAUGCUCGACAUCUGCUUCCAUCAAGCUGUAUGAUGUAUUCAGUCUCUCAGUUGUAAUAUAUUAAAUUUUAUUGUGUGCCAAAAGUACUUAUUGACAGUGACAGAAGUUAUCCAAGUUUAUGCGUGGCUGUUAUAUGGAACAAUAGUAUAAAGUCAAGUAACUGAACAGGAAAAGGUAGUUGGAUUGUUUGAUGUAAUACCAGUGUUUAUGUGGAAAUCAAAAUUCCUUAGGUGCAGUGCAGUGUUACCAACACAUGUCCAUUUCAUAUAUUUGUGAAUGUUGUACAGUGAAUAAUCUGACCUUUCAACUACCUAUCUUCCAAAAUGUAUUAAUUAUUGUUAUUCCAAUACUAUUAUUUAUAAUAUUAUAAAGUACAUCUCAGACAAUAUAAAA